Molecule: ribosomal RNA, 1007 nt
Filed under: Bacillus pumilus
Lineage: Bacteria; Bacillati; Bacillota; Bacilli; Caryophanales; Bacillaceae
Description: bacterial SSU rRNA
Rfam family: Bacterial small subunit ribosomal RNA
Source: RNAcentral
UGCAAGUCGAGCGGACAGAAGGGAGCUUGCUCCCGGAUGUUAGCGGCGGACGGGUGAGUAACACGUGGGUAACCUGCCUGUAAGACUGGGAUAACUCCGGGAAACCGGAGCUAAUACCGGAUAGUUCCUUGAACCGCAUGGUUCAAGGAUGAAAGACGGUUUCGGCUGUCACUUGCAGAUGGACCCGCGGCGCAUUAGCUAGUUGGUGGGGUAAUGGCUCACCAAGGCGACGAUGCGUAGCCGACCUGAGAGGGUGAUCGGCCACACUGGGACUGAGACACGGCCCAGACUCCUACGGGAGGCAGCAGUAGGGAAUCUUCCGCAAUGGACGAAAGUCUGACGGAGCAACGCCGCGUGAGUGAUGAAGGUUUUCGGAUCGUAAAGCUCUGUUGUUAGGGAAGAACAAGUGCGAGAGUAACUGCUCGCACCUUGACGGUACCUAACCAGAAAGCCACGGCUAACUACGUGCCAGCAGCCGCGGUAAUACGUAGGUGGCAAGCGUUGUCCGGAAUUAUUGGGCGUAAAGGGCUCGCAGGCGGUUUCUUAAGUCUGAUGUGAAAGCCCCCGGCUCAACCGGGGAGGGUCAUUGGAAACUGGGAAACUUGAGUGCAGAAGAGGAGAGUGGAAUUCCACGUGUAGCGGUGAAAUGCGUAGAGAUGUGGAGGAACACCAGUGGCGAAGGCGACUCUCUGGUCUGUAACUGACGCUGAGGAGCGAAAGCGUGGGGAGCGAACAGGAUUAGAUACCCUGGUAGUCCACGCCGUAAACGAUGAGUGCUAAGUGUUAGGGGGUUUCCGCCCCUUAGUGCUGCAGCUAACGCAUUAAGCACUCCGCCUGGGGAGUACGGUCGCAAGACUGAAACUCAAAGGAAUUGACGGGGGCCCGCACAAGCGGUGGAACAUGUGGUUUAAUUCGAAGCACGCGAAGAACCUUACCAGGUCUUGACAUCCUCUGACAACCCUAGAGAUAGGGCUUUCCCUUCGGGGACAGAAUGACAAGUGGUGCAU